RNAcentral lists this ribosomal RNA (1002 nucleotides) under Triticum aestivum (bread wheat). RNAcentral describes it as "partial small subunit ribosomal RNA". Lineage: Eukaryota; Viridiplantae; Streptophyta; Magnoliopsida; Poales; Poaceae. The record is from RNAcentral.
AUGUCGCCGCCGGCCGUCCUGGUUUCCAACGGCGCCGUCUCCCCGCACGCUCCUCCUUCCGCGGCUGCUUUCCUCGAGUCCACUCCGGGCGCCUACACUACCGCGCGCGCAUCCUCCACAGGCCUCAUCCUCUGGUGGCCACGCCACCUCCUCCGCCUCGCCGACUCCGCGCGCCUCCUCGCCCAAUCCCGUCCCCACCUCCUCGGCCUCCCUGCAAAGCCGCCGGGUGCCCUCUCCACAGCGCCCAUCGAGCCUCUCGUUAACCAAUCCGUGCGGGUCGGCGUCCACGAGAUGCGGAGCCGGAUGCUGGCGCUUGGGGAGUGCUGCCCGGGGGAAGAUAUGGCGCUCACAGCGUUGGUUCGAGCUGGUCGGGCGGCGGAUGGGCUGGAGGUAUGCGUCCACCUGGGUGUGUACGUGCCUCCGGUGUUCGGGGACGCCGGGGCGAAGCUUGCAGUGGCCGGGAGCGGAAGGGAGGCCGCCGCCGCCAAGUACGCUCCUUGGGCCAGGAUGAGGAAGAGUAUGGAGAAGAUGAGGCCUCCUGGAGCCACGGAGCUCUUGCUGACCAACGAUGGGGAUCAUCUUCUUGAAGGCAGUGUUACAAACUUCUUCGUCGUCUGCCAGAAGGAGGAACGUCAGUCAAAGGAACCCUUGUCUGUUCAAACAAUGGCAAAUAAGUUUGAAGUACAAACAGCUCCACUAAGAGAUGGAGUUCUCCCUGGAAUUAUGCGCCAGAUAGUCAUUGAGGAGUGCCAUGAUCUUGGGAUCCCAGUACGUGAGGUCUCACCGUCAUGGUCCAAGCGUGAACUUUGGGAAGAAGCCUUUGUUACAAGUAGCUUAAGGCUUAUCCAGCACGUGGGGACAGUUCAAGCACCUUUACUAUGGGAGGACAUAGAAACAAAAACCUGGAGGGAUGUAUCUUGGGCGGUGAAGCAAUUUCAGGGCGCUGGACACAUCACCACACUGAUACAGGUUAGUUCUCCUGUGCUCCCAUGGCGUAUUUAA